Molecule: ribosomal RNA, 245 nt
Filed under: uncultured Actinomycetales bacterium
Lineage: Bacteria; Bacillati; Actinomycetota; Actinomycetes; Actinomycetales
Description: partial 16S ribosomal RNA
Rfam family: Bacterial small subunit ribosomal RNA
Source: RNAcentral
UGCUCGAGUGGCGAACGGGUGAGUAACACGUGAGUAACCUGCCCUUGACCUUGGGAUAACUUCAGGAAACUGGGGCUAAUACCGGAUAGGAGCUCCUGCUGCAUGGUGGGGGUUGGAAAGUUUCGGCGGUUGGGGAUUGACUCGCGGCUUAUCAGCUUGUUGGUGGGGUAGUGGCUUACCAAGGCUUUGACGGGUAGCCGGCCUGAGAGGGUGACCGGCCACAUUGGGACUGAGAUACGGCCCAG